Molecule: ribosomal RNA, 240 nt
Filed under: uncultured bacterium
Lineage: Bacteria
Description: partial 16S ribosomal RNA
Rfam family: Bacterial small subunit ribosomal RNA
Source: RNAcentral
GAUCAUGGCUCAGGAUGAACGCUGGCGGCGUGCUUAACACAUGCAAGUCGAACGAAGCACUUAAGAUUGAUUCUUCGGAUGACGUCUUUUGUGACUUAGUGGCGGACGGGUGAGUAACGCGUGGGUAACCUGCCUCCCACAGGGGGGAUAACAGUUAGAAAUGACUGCUAAUACCGCAUAACCCGAUAGGAUCGCAUGAUCCAGACGGAAAAGAUUUAUCGGUGUGAGAUGGACCCGCGU